This 245-nucleotide ribosomal RNA is filed under the name uncultured bacterium. RNAcentral describes it as "partial 16S ribosomal RNA". It matches the Rfam family "Bacterial small subunit ribosomal RNA", at positions 89 to 334 of the family's 1533-position model. The record is from RNAcentral.
UGGCGACCGGCGCACGGGUGAGUAACGCGUAUCCAACCUGCCUUACACUCUUGGACAGCCUUCUGAAAGGGAGAUUAAUACAAGAUGUUAUCAUGAGUAAGCAUUUUCGCAUGAUUAAAGGUUUACCGGUGUAAGAUGGGGAUGCGUUCCAUUAGGUUGUUGGCGGGGUAACGGCCCACCAAGCCUUCGAUGGAUAGGGGUUCUGAGAGGAAGGUCCCCCACAUUGGAACUGAGACACGGUCCAA